Molecule: ribosomal RNA, 786 nt
Filed under: uncultured Methyloversatilis sp.
Lineage: Bacteria; Pseudomonadati; Pseudomonadota; Betaproteobacteria; Nitrosomonadales; Sterolibacteriaceae
Description: partial 16S ribosomal RNA
Rfam family: Bacterial small subunit ribosomal RNA
Source: RNAcentral
CGAUGGGCCGACGUCGCAUGCUCCCGGCCGCCAUGGUUAGAGUUUGAUCAUGGCUCAGAUUGAACGCUGGCGGAAUGCUUUACACAUGCAAGUCGAACGGCAGCACGGGGGCACCCUGGUGGCGAGUGGCGAACGGGUGAGUAAUGUAUCGGAACGUACCCCGUCGUGGGGGAUAACUCUCCGAAAGGAGAGCUAAUACCGCAUACGACCUGAGGGUGAAAGCGGGGGACCUGCGAGGGCCUCGCGCGAUGGGAGCGGCCGAUAUCGGAUUAGCUAGUUGGUGAGGUAAAGGCUCACCAAGGCGACGAUCCGUAGCGGGUCUGAGAGGACGACCCGCCACACUGGAACUGAGACACGGUCCAGACUCCUACGGGAGGCAGCAGUGGGGAAUUUUGGACAAUGGGGGAAACCCUGAUCCAGCCAUUCCGCGUGAGUGAAGAAGGCCUUCGGGUUGUAAAGCUCUUUCAGCAGGAACGAAACGGUAGGCUUUAAUACAGUUUGCUAAUGACGGUACCUGCAGAAGAAGCACCGGCUAACUACGUGCCAGCAGCCGCGGUAAUACGUAGGGUGCGAGCGUUAAUCGGAAUUACUGGGCGUAAAGCGUGCGCAGGCGGCGACAUAAGACAGAUGUGAAAUCCCCGGGCUCAACCUGGGAACUGCGUUUGUGACUGUGUUGCUAGAGUGUACAGAGGGGGGUGGGAAUUCCACGUGUAGCAAUGAAAUGCGUAAAGAUGUGGAGGAACACCGAUGGCGAAGGCAGCCCCCUGGGGUUACACUGACGCUCAU